This 1402-nucleotide ribosomal RNA is filed under the name uncultured bacterium. RNAcentral's name for it is "bacterial SSU rRNA". It matches the Rfam family "Bacterial small subunit ribosomal RNA". The record is from RNAcentral.
AGAGUUUGAUCCUGGCUCAGGAUGAACGCUAGCUACAGGCUUAACACAUGCAAGUCGAGGGGCAGCAUGGAGUUUGCUUGCAGACUCUGAUGGCGACCGGCGCACGGGUGAGUAACACGUAUCCAACCUGCCCGCUACUCGGGGAUGGCCUUCCGAAAGGAAGAUUAAUACCCGAUGGCAUAUGGAGUCCGCAUGUUCUCCAUAUUAAAGAUUCAUCGGUAGCGGAUGGGGAUGCGUUCCAUUAGAUAGUUGGUGGGGUCACGGCCCACCAAGUCAACGAUGGAUAGGGGUUCUGAGAGGAAGGUCCCCCACACUGGAACUGAGACACGGUCCAGACUCCUACGGGAGGCAGCAGUGAGGAAUAUUGGUCAAUGGAAGCAAUUCUGAACCAGCCAAGUAACGUGAAGGAUGACUGCCCUAUGGGUUGUAAACUUCUUUUAUACGGGAAUAAACGGCACUACGUGUAGUGUUUUGCAUGUACCGUUAUGAAUAAGCAUCGGCUAAUUCCGUGCCAGCAGCCGCGGUAAUACGGAAGAUGCGAGCGUUAUCCGGAUUUAUUGGGUUUAAAGGGAGCGUAGGCGGGUUUUUAAGUCAGCUGUGAAAGUUUGGGGCUCAACCUUAAAAUUGCAGUUGAUACUGGAAGCCUUGAGUGCGGUAAAGGCAGGCGGAAUUCGUGGUGUAGCGGUGAAAUGCUUAGAUAUCACGAAGAACUCCGAUUGCGAAGGCAGCUUGCUGGGCCGUAACUGACGCUGAUGCUCGAAAGUGCGGGUAUCAAACAGGAUUAGAUACCCUGGUAGUCCGCACAGUAAACGAUGGAUACUCGUUGUUUGCGAUAUACCGUAAGCGACCAAGCGAAAGCGUUAAGUAUCCCACCUGGGGAGUACGCCGGCAACGGUGAAACUCAAAGGAAUUGACGGGGGCCCGCACAAGCGGAGGAACAUGUGGUUUAAUUCGAUGAUACGCGAGGAACCUUACCCGGGCUUGAACUGCAGAAGACUUAUUCGGAAACGGAUAUUCCCUUCGGGGCUUCUGUGGAGGUGCUGCAUGGUUGUCGUCAGCUCGUGCCGUGAGGUGUCGGCUUAAGUGCCAUAACGAGCGCAACCCUUAUCUUCAGUUGCCAUCGGGUGAUGCCGGGGACUCUGUAGAGACUGCCGUCGUAAGAUGUGAGGAAGGCGGGGAUGACGUCAAAUCAGCACGGCCCUUACGUCCGGGGCUACACACGUGUUACAAUGGUCGGUACAGAGGGUUGCUACCUGGCGACAGGAUGCUAAUCUCAUAAAACCGAUCUCAGUUCGGAUCGGAGUCUGCAACUCGACUCCGUGAAGCUGGAUUCGCUAGUAAUCGCGCAUCAGCCAUGGCGCGGUGAAUACGUUCCCGGGCCUUGUACUCACCGCCCGUCAAG